UUGACCUCAAAUCAAGCAAGACUACCCGCUGAACUUAAGCAUAUCAAUAAGCGGAGGAAAAGAAACUAACAAGGAUUCCCCUAGUAAC
Molecule: ribosomal RNA, 88 nt
Filed under: Amanita hemibapha
Lineage: Eukaryota; Fungi; Basidiomycota; Agaricomycetes; Agaricales; Amanitaceae
Description: partial 28S ribosomal RNA
Rfam family: Eukaryotic large subunit ribosomal RNA
Source: RNAcentral